Molecule: long non-coding RNA, 3039 nt
Organism: Helianthus annuus (common sunflower)
Lineage: Eukaryota; Viridiplantae; Streptophyta; Magnoliopsida; Asterales; Asteraceae
Exons: 14
Source: RefSeq, a predicted model, not a curated record
GAUGCUUAAUAUUCUGUUAUUCGUUUAAUAAUCUGUGUUUUUUGGGUUCAGAAAGUAGCAACAGGUCUAUUCUUGAGAGGUCUUAUUUGAGCAUCAAUACCAUCAGUUACUUAAUAUUGUUGUUAGUAUGUAUUAUGUGUCCAAAUUUGAAUGUCGUAUAAUUAUAUAUUAAAGAUCUAAAGCGGGGACACAGCUUCAGGUAUGUUAUUAUCGCUUUCCAUUUCUCUGAAGUGUAAAUAGGUUAUUAGGUUUUCUUCUAAUUGGUGAAACUAGAAAUGGGUCAACUUAGCUUAUGUACUUAUCUCAACAUAAUAAACUUCUCUUAUAAUUUAAGAGUUGUUUGUUGUUCCCGAAGGGGUCAACUUAGCUUAUGUACUUAUCUCAACAUAAUAACCUUCGGUUAUAAUUUAAGAACUGUUUGUUGUUCCCGAAGGUUAUUAUGGUUGUGGUAAAGGGAGUUUCUUAGCAUGUCAUAAACGAGGACGACAAGUGUGAUGUUUUUCACUUGCAACCCGUGUUACAGCCAAAACGGUCCAAUAGCCAAAUCCGAGCCGAAUCGUUUUCCUUUUGAGAACCCUAAUCUACCGCCACCAUAGCAUCAUCAACGUGGUAUUCUCCAUUGUUCAUCGAUCCAGAAUUCACCAUCAAUGGGUAUGUAUGAACUCUUUUAUUUUUUGUUUUUUGAUUGUUACAGUUUUGCAGGUGAUAAAGGAAUUCUUUUUUAUUUUGGCGCAAUCUCAUCUGGGAGGAUUUUUUUUGUUUCCUCGAUUAUACGAGAUAGUUUUUUGUGCCCGGUGAUCCGUGAUAAAUUCAAGAUGAGCAGUGGUGGUGCUAUCAGAUGGUCAUGAUGAGUCUACGGGUAGUUGUUUGAUUAGGCACCAGAUGGGUCGACGGUAUUAGGUUCUGGUGACACAGGUAUGGUUACAAUUCAGCGGUGGGUGAUGGUGUUCUAUGACGAACAAUAAACAACAGUAGGGUGUGGUUCCGGCGAGUCGAACUUGACACGGAUGGCUAUGAAUUCCGAUAACGAAACAAUAAACAGCAGUGGGUUGGGGUCAGAAGGAAAGGAUUGACCAAUGUAAUUGUUAUUGAUGGAAGCUUACUUGCCCUUUGUUUGUGCACACUACUCUUCACACAGGCCUGGAUAAGUAGCUGAAUCGACUUUGGUUUCUGUUAUGUGGGCCUGGAAGUCUCAUUCCAUGGAGGCAGGGGCUGAAUCUAAGCUUAUAUAACUGAUGUUGUGAAACAUGGUUGGCAUGCUCAGGUACUUGGUGAUCCCCCACCCAAAUAGAUGAAGAACAUGCCCAGACAAGAAUAUGUAGCUCACUUGAGAUGGUAAUUUGGUGCUACUGAUGUGAAACUUUUUGGUGAACCAAAACAACCCUUUUUUCUGCACCCUUUCUCAAUGGACAAAAGGCAGUUUUAGUUCUGUUUACAAGGGGAUGAUCCAUGAGCGAUCACUUGCAGCUGCCAAGACUCGCACAACUGUCGCUGUGGUUAACCAACAUCUUCAAAGUCCCCGGAAGAGUGGUUGGCUACAGUUAACUAUCUAGGGCUGAUUGAUCAUCCAAAUUUUAUAAAGCUUAUUGGUUACUGCACAGACGAUGACCACAAACUUCUUGUAUACAAGUACAUGGAACGAGGCAGCCUAGACAACUAUCUUUUCAGAAGCCGUUUUUACACUGGACCUCUCGCAUGGAACCUACGAAUUAAAACACGAUUUCAAUUCCACCAGCAUCUUGAUUGAUUCGAAUCACAAUGCGAGAAUUUCCAAUUUUGGGAUGGUGAAGGACGGGCCAGUAGAUUCUUCUGGACAAGUUAUAUAUACAAAAGGAUACACGGAUCCUGAAUAUAUUAAACAGGUCACUUCACCAAAAGCAGCAACAUAUACAGUUUCUGUGUGGUGCUUCUGGAACUCUUGACGGGGCAGAGGUGCAUUGACAAGAACGGUUCGGUGGCCAACCCGUGCCGUGAUGGACUAUUGACUUAACGAUGGUGUAAUGGAAAUCGUGCCCUGUUUCCGGUGCCGACGCUAUCUUCUUCACAGAGCGUUCUCAGUUCGUUUUCCUAACAUAUAUAUUAGAGGUGGUUUCUCAGAGGUUUUUACGACGGUCAUCUUUAUAUGGUUCAGAUAAUCAUUAUUAGAGAACAUGAAAGAUAAGUGGAAUUAAGGGAAAACAGGUGGACAUAUGUUUCUUAGAAUUGCUUCUCGUUUUGUUAUUCCUAUUUUUUCCAGUAUAUGUGAGUUGGGUAUGAGUAGCUAUGCUCUGUUUCACUUUUAUCUUCAAAGAAUGCACCUCCUGGACUCCAACCCUAUAUCGAUCUUUUAUUAAUGAAAUCCUUCUCACUCCCAAAUCAGCCUGCGCAUGUACCUUUUUUGACCUCCUAGAUUCCCAACUGGCUCUCUGUCUGCAAAGACAUUGGAGCCCUAAUCUAACAAAAUUGGUUUGCCCACUUUCAACGGGUACUCGAGUUUUGCUGGAAUCAGAGUGGAAGCAGCUAGAAUCCAAUCUUUUUUGAGCUGAUGGGAAUCUUUUAGGAAGUCGCUUGGAAUUUAGAGAAACAAGUGUUGCAUGGUGAACAUUUUUCUUGAAUGGUUAAAUUAAUAUAAAUGAAUCUGUUAUACUAUUCACAACGAAGAAUUUGGCCACUUGAAUGAUGAAUCCAUAACACUUGAAUAACAAUGAGGUUCGGGUUGAAGGUGAUUACGUGCAUCUGUUUAGCUAUCCGAUGAAAAGUUAACGAAUGUUUAUUUAGUUUGUUCAUGUUUCCUAAAACACAAGUUAUAUGCCACUAAAUGAAGUUACAUUUUUUUUGUUUAUUUUUAUUUAUUUUAUAGAGAAAAGGGCUGCAGCAUUGUUGGUAUGUAAAAGAAAAGUUGGCUAGGCUUCAAAGUCAAAGGCCCAUCUUCUUUAAUCACAUGAAUAUAUCUUUUAAUCAUCAAAUUGUUUUUUUAUUACUUAAGGUUGUUGUAAUGGAAUUUAAAUGUAUUGUAUGUUAUAAGGUAAUUGAAUUGUUUGUUUUACAUUUGUGAUUGAA